UGGGUAACCCACCUCGAUGACCGGGACAACCCGAGGAAACUCGGGCUAAUACCGGAUGAGCUCUUCGCCCUUGAGGGAGAAGAGGAAAGAUAGCUUCGGCCUUCGCAUCGGGACGGGCCCGCGGCGGAUUAGCUUGUUGGUGAGGUAACGGCUCACCAAGGCGACGAUCCGUAGCUGGUCUGAGAGGACGAUCAGCCACACUGGGACUGAGACACGGCCCAGACCUCCGUACGGGGAGCAG
RNAcentral lists this ribosomal RNA (241 nucleotides) under uncultured bacterium. Its description in RNAcentral is "partial 16S ribosomal RNA". It matches the Rfam family "Bacterial small subunit ribosomal RNA", at positions 118 to 351 of the family's 1533-position model. The record is from RNAcentral.